Molecule: long non-coding RNA, 1572 nt
Organism: Vespula pensylvanica (western yellowjacket)
Lineage: Eukaryota; Metazoa; Arthropoda; Insecta; Hymenoptera; Vespidae
Exons: 7
Source: RefSeq, a predicted model, not a curated record
UCCAUUCUUUGUAUUUAUUAUCUAUUAAAAAUUAAUAGGUUAAGGAUAGAAAAUAAAGUGCUCAUUCCUCCGUACGACGAUAUUGGUUAAUAACACGAUGUUAUAUACGUGUGAGUACAUCCCUCUCUUCGAACGAAAGAGGAACGCGUUCAUUCGUGUGUACGCACGCGCCGCCUAGAGGCCAAGCAGUGCGUUGACCUUCGCUAAGGAUGUGCCCAUGUCCCCAGGCCGGGUCACACUCGAGUCUUGCGAUCGUAGGAAAACAUGUACGACAGAAGUACACACCGCACGUGUCGCGAACUCAUUUUGAAGAUUCGUUCACAUCGAAACAAGUUAAAAGAGUACAUAGUAAUCAAGAAAAAUACGAAAAGGAAAAAUAUAGCACGUACGUGUGAAAGCAUCUUUAAUCUUGUUUUCAUCGAAGUCACUCGGUCUCGUCUCCUUUCGGAGCUUUCUUCUUCUGCUGCCCUGCUUCCAAGUAUUUGCUAAAGGCGGUACGACGUUACGAGAGACUCCACCCAUAAGGCUGACACGAACACGUCCAAUACCCGGAUCCUUCUCUCUUUUAGAUAGCACCUUACCAAGAAGGAUAUAAAGGUAUCAUGAUGGUCACACUCGACUGAAGUUACCCGGUCGAGGUCACUAGGAGAUCAGAUUCAUCGAGAAGUCGUUGAAUCGCGGAAGAGGACCAUGCCGUUACGUUUUAAUAAAUCAUUCUUCGUCAGGUGUAUAGUUUAAGAAGUUUUAAUAGUUCUUUUAUAAAUUAGAUCAGACUAAUUACGCAUCUUUAUGAUUGAGAAGAUCUUACGGAUAAAACUGUUAUUAUUUUGUUUAUUAGUAAGUUUUUUAUUGAUCAAUUAACAAAGAAAAUGUGAUGUAGGUGGAGUAACGUUUAGUUUUAAUUUUUAUCAACGAACAAAUAUAUUCAGAAGAGAACUUUAUUGAGAAGAAAAUGAUAACAAUCAAGAAUAAACUAAUCGAUGAAAAUAUAGAUCAGGUGUCUCGUGUAUAACUUUCGUGAAAAUAAGGGAGUCAAGGGAGAAAAAAUAGAAGAGAAGAGUAUAAGAUAAGGGACUCUGGCUGGUAGUACGCAACGAUGAAAAUUUAUUCGUCGCACGUGCGAAAUAUCAAGUUUGCUGUUAAGACACUUGAAAGGUUUACGCGCUUCGAUACGUGCUGCAAUACGUCGUCGUAUCCCAUUGCGGAUAUAACGAUCGUUGUGUGCAGUGCCGUAGCGAGUAUGCCGGACUCGAUCGAAGAACGAUCGGCUGAUGAAAGGGGAAGAGAUGGAAGACUAUAUACAUAAGAGGGGAAACAGUCAUAGAAGAGGGUAAGUCUCGAAAGGGUUGACACGUGCGUGAAAUGCGUAUCACCCUCAUGUCUUCCCCGUCAUCAUCAUAAUCAACAUCGUUGUUGUAGUCAUCAUAGUCAUCAUAGUCGCCUCGUCCUCCUUAUUUCAGUGAGGGCUACGCACAGGUGCGCGUGAGCGUGCAAGGAUUAAGAGGACGUCUCGUUGAAGCUUCGCGAAGAUGAGAGCAAGUCUCUAACUUCGCAAGGAGGGUGAGGGAGAGA